Molecule: long non-coding RNA, 1453 nt
Filed under: Homo sapiens (human)
Lineage: Eukaryota; Metazoa; Chordata; Mammalia; Primates; Hominidae
Description: HSALNT0079037
Source: RNAcentral
CGACACACUUCCCUGCACUUAUAGUUUUAAAAUAUCGUACACAUAACAUUAUGAUUUCAGUUCUAAAUGUAAACCAUGAUUUCUUUUUAAAGACGUAUGGCAGCCUUCAUUUCCAGUCAAGGCAUGCGACAUUUUAGGGUCCUGUGGAAGAAAUGCGAUAUGCUUUCAGAUCACGUGUGAAGGAGGUCUCACUGAGUCGAGAUCUGCUUAGUGCCAAGUGUGAUGUGGACACUUGCCUGCUGGAUGGAGACAGAAACUCAUUUCCCAUCUGUCAAGCAGCCUGACACAGAGUUGGUAAUGAUUUUCUGUCAGGCGAGGCCUGGCUGGAUUUGAACCCGUGACCCAGACGUAAAAGGGCCUGAUGUAGGGCUCCCUUUACAAUAACUGGCUGCCUGUACCUUGUUACUCCCAGCCCAGGACUCUCUCUCACAUCUGCCCAUGCUUUCUCCUCAUGCAGCUGAAGUUUGGUUAGAUCCUGACUUAGCACUGGGGCUAAGUGAUUGAUGUCCCUGGGCAAGCAGAAGAUGCAUUAGUGUCUUAGGGAAUGGAAAAUGAAAGGUGGAAGAAGAACGGGACGGUGGGACUGCAGUGUGAUUAGCGUGUAGCCAAAAGCCAUGUGCUCCUGUGAAGCCAGGGCCUGACCCUCUCAGGAUCUGUGCAGCCUGUCGGCCAGCCAGACGGCUCCCAUGCAAAGGCCACCAGGAGUGUGGGUCUGGAGUAAUACUGAGUUUAGAUUCUCCAGGUGUCAACUAUUCUGGUGUUGAAAUUGUCAUCAUUAUUCAUACUGAUAGUUUUCAUGAAAAAAGAGUCCCUUUCAGGGGCAUCCAUAGAUGAUUAACAUGAUGACCCCCGUUCACUGAAUGAUAAUUAAGAGUCACACACCACUCUCCAAAAGCAGUGCUUCACAGGUGGAAAAUAUCUGUCCUCCAGAAUCAGAAAAGCAAACUGGAGGGCCUUAAGGGUUAACUCAUUAUUAAACAUUUAUUGAAGUUCCUCCUAGCAGACAAGUGUUCUAUCAGGGUUAUAGACAUAAGCAAAAUGAGGCUCCCAUUGAAGAAAUUAAUCAUUUAGAGGGGAAGAGACAUGUUGACAAAGAAAACCUGGUACAAUCUGAUAAGUGAUAUCAAUAGCAAGUGAAGAAAUUCAGUUGUCAUUUGAAAAUGAAGGCCUGUGUCUCACGAUGGUGGGAAGCAUUGAGAGAGCCUGGGAAUUAGAGCAGAGGUAAAAUGAAGGGAAGCACAGGUGUUGACCACAUCAGAGACCCAGCUGGAAUCUAGGCUUUCCCGCUUAUAAGCUGUGGGACUUGGAACCUAGUCUCAUGGGCCCUCCACAUCCUAAGCUGUAAAAUGGGAAUAAUUACACCAAUGUCAAAAAUUGCUGUAAGGAUUAAAUGGGUAAAGCAUUUAUCAGAGUGCCUGGCACAUAGUAGGUGAUUGAUAACUGUCAGCAAAGG